RNAcentral lists this ribosomal RNA (459 nucleotides) under uncultured bacterium. RNAcentral describes it as "partial 16S ribosomal RNA". It matches the Rfam family "Bacterial small subunit ribosomal RNA", at positions 338 to 795 of the family's 1533-position model. The record is from RNAcentral.
CCUACGGGAGGCAGCAGUGAGGAAUAUUGGUCAAUGGGCGUAAGCCUGAACCAGCCAAGUCGCGUGAGGGAUGAAGGUUCUAUGGAUCGUAAACCUCUUUUAUAAGGGAAUAAAGUGUGGGAAGUGUCCAGUUAUGUAUGUACCUUAUGAAUAAGGAUCGGAUAACUCUGUGCCAGGAGCCGCGGUAAUACGGAGGAUGCGGGCGUUAUGCGGAUUUAUUGGGGUUAAAGGGUGCGUAGGCGGAAUGCCAAGUCAGCGGGAAAAUCGCGGGGCUCAACCUCGCUCCGCCGUUGAUACUGGCGGUCUUGAGUGGGCGAGAAGUAUGCGGAAUGCGUGGUGUAGCGGUGAAAUGCAUAGAUAUCACGAAGAACUCCGAUUGCGAAGGCAGCAUACCGGCGCACAACUGACGCUGAAGCACGAAAGCGUGGGGAUCGAACAGGAUUAGAUACCCCAGUAGUC